RNAcentral lists this ribosomal RNA (403 nucleotides) under uncultured bacterium. Its description in RNAcentral is "partial 16S ribosomal RNA". It matches the Rfam family "Bacterial small subunit ribosomal RNA", at positions 28 to 526 of the family's 1533-position model. The record is from RNAcentral.
GACGAACGCUGGCGGCGUGCCUAAUACAUGCAAGUCGAACGCAGUGGGGACGGGUGAGUAACACGUGGGUAACCUCCCAUCAGAGGGGAUAACACUUGGAAACAGGUGCUAAACCGCUACUGAUGGAUGGACCCGCGGUGCAUUAGCUAGUUGGUGAGGUAACGGCUCACCAAGGCCACGAUGCAUAGCGGGUCUGAGCGGCUGACCAGCCACACUGGGACUGAGACACGGCCCAGAUCCCGACGGGAGGCAGCAGUGGGGAAUCUGCGACAAUGGACAGAAGUAUGAGCGAGUAACGCCGCGUGGGUGAAGAAGGUUGUCGGUGCGUAAAGCUCUGUUGUUAGAGAGGCGGUAUCUGAACAAAAAGCCACGGCUAACUACGUGCCAGCAGCCGCGGUAAUUC